This is a long non-coding RNA of Carassius gibelio (silver crucian carp), 2894 nucleotides long. RefSeq lists it as uncharacterized. NCBI's taxonomy places the organism in Eukaryota, Metazoa, Chordata, Actinopteri, Cypriniformes, Cyprinidae. The transcript is spliced from 5 exons. The record is from RefSeq and is a predicted model, not a curated record.
AAGAAUUAACCCAGCUAGCAAAAAAUAUCCGCACGGCUUCUUUUUGCCGCCGGCCCUAAGCUGUCGGCUAUAGGUGCGUCCCGCUGGCGGGGAUGAAACGUUUGCCGCCGAAUACGUCACUCCCAUUUCUUGCGAGAUGCCGCCGGCGAAAAGCCGGCGGGCCGACUGCUUCAUUUUCUUUGGCGGUUGCCUCCGUCUAAUGGACCGCGGCCGGCUGGCGGCAAGCCGCUUUGAAAUGCAAGGAUUUCUACUAAAAUCGACCAGCAGCCAAGGCUAUGUUUAGCAUGUUGGGAGUUAGAAUGGAAGUGGAACUGACAGCAUUUUAACUACUUUUCACAUCUGAAGCGAUUAUAAAAUCAUAAUAGCCUAUAUGUGAAUUAAAUCCCAUAUUAUUAUUAUUAUUAUUAUUAUUUUUUUUUUUUAAGCCAUUAGGGUUUAUUCUUGACUCUUGAUUCCAUGAUAAGGUACGGUUUAGGAAAUUACAUUUAAAUUACUUUGAAACUCUGAAGCGAUAGAGUAGCCUAAUAGGCUAUAUGUAAAAUUAUUUUAUGCACUUAGGUGAAAAUUGUUUACAUUUCUUUGAUUUAUGCACAAUUGAGACAUGCAUAAACCAAAAAUAAUUCCUUUUGUAAAACUUACUUGGCAAUAAAUAUCUUUCUGAUUCUGAUUAGGUUUUAAAAUAGAUAUUUAAUUCAUGGUAUGAACAAUUUAGCUGAAUAAAUUGAUGAAGUUAGACUUUUCACUAAUGCCUGGCUACAUCAGUGAACAGUGAAAGACAUCUGCAACAUGGCCAAAAUCUUGGGUAGGUCUAUACUUUAUAAUUUUUUAUUAAUUUGCAACCAUGGUAAUAGCCUAUCAUAAACAGGAAAAUCUCUGUUUUGACCUGAUCAGAAGGAUAAACUAAAAUCUAAAAGCUCCUCUGGUUUCACAGCUGCACUGGCAGAUUUAUGAAAUAUUUAGAAAUAUUUCGUCUUUCUGCCAUUCCAGGAAAUGUCAUUUUAUGUCUUUCAUUUUUUUCCAACCUCGAUUUUUUUUUUUUUUUUUUUUUUUUGACUUUUUACAUGUAUAAGGGAUUAAUUUGCAAUUGCGACCUGUACAAAUGUUUAAGACAGUAAAACACUUAAAAAAAUGUAAACACAUUAUAAAUGUUAGAAAGUAUAGGUUUUCACCAUUGCUGUGUUCAGGAUUUUUUUUUGGGCGGAGCUAAAACGGUGGCUCGAUGACGCACUGGAGCCACUGAGCUCCUGGCCCCUCCCCAAACAACAUAACUAGAGCACACAUUCGCGUCAGUUCGCCGUUCAAUCGCGAGUUUCUGUGGACUACCAUCGUUUAAGUAAGUACAUGUUUCCUUAACGCAAUAUUAUGUUUACAUUGUUUUUAGUUUAUCUUUGUAAAAUCUGUAGUCAUCUUUGUUCAUGCCUUACUAGUCAAGCUAAAGUAAGGCUAAAGUAAGUUAGCCUUGUUUACAAAGUUGCCGCCAUGUUACAAUUAAAGGAACACUCCACCGUUUUUUGAAAUAGGGCUUAUUCACAUUAUUUCCUACAUUUAGAUAGGUGGGCAAAUGCAUUUUUGUGUCAGUGCAUGCAUUGUUUUAGUUUGACUGGGUCGGCGUUAGCUUAGCUUAGCACAAUGAAUGGAAUCCUUUGUUGCCAGCUAGCAUGGCCUGAGUAAAAGUGAUCAAAAAAAUAAAAAAAAACCACCUAAUUACUUCUUGUGGACUGCGUAUUCACAACGAGUACAAAUAGCGAUCCAGAUUAACACUAGGCGAUUUCCUAGGCAGAUAUUGUCUUGGGACUAUAUUAUGGGGAAGCACAGGAGAAGCACUGCUGCUUAGGCGAAGCACUGCUACUUCGGCGCAGAGAUAUCACGCAACACAUGAAAUCCGAGUAACCCCAGAGUGCAGUCUGGACGAUGGGGCGGGGCGACACUUCGAGGCGGAGCGACACGUGUCGCCCCGCCCAUAUUUGUUUCCCCCGCCUUUGACAUUUUCCUCCGAGCCAGCAGGGGGCAGUUUGCGUUGAAACAAACAGAUCGGUGGCAACUACAGCAGCAGAGUAAUAACGCUAUUCCGUUGAUUGCUUGAGGUGAGUAAAAGUGGUUGUGUAAAUAUCUUAUAAUAUGAAAUGCGAUGUUGGAUCAUUUAUUCAUCCAUGGUACGUUCAAUUUGAAUAAUUAUUGUUAAUAAUUGUUAUAAAUUGCUCAUUUUAUUGUUCUUUGUGGAUUGUAACAGUACACUCUGUACAUGGCUUUAGUUCAUAGGUUCGAUUUUACAGAGGAUGACAUGAUCAGGAGGUGGUGGUGUUCUGUUCUCCUGGACAGCUUCACUCCGCAAAUAGCUCAACCACUGAGGGGAGGAACUUCACCAUUCACCAUGUCUUCAGGCAGAGUCCAGCAAAGCAGCUUCCAAUGGAAAUCCUCAGGGAAGUUAUUUUGUCGGCGGGUGACUCUGCAUAUUUGACACUUUCUCUGGUUUGCAGAUGGUUUAGGGAUGUGCUCCGAAGUUUUUCGGAAAGCGGCACAGUUUGCCUGGCUAGACAUUGUGGCCAACUGGAAGAAUUGUCCUCCUGUCCACUGACCAGAACGAGUUCAGACGGAUGUACAGCAUCAGGGAACGCUUGCAGUGCAGAGCCCUUUUCAAGUUUAACCCACCAGGGUACAGGGAAGAGACCGGCGUGGUGAUCUUCUGGGCUUUUGUUUACACAGGAUUUUGUUCCAAGGACUGUUGUUUUUUAUUUAUUUAUUUAUUUUUCGGCAUGAAACACAUUUGUGUGUUAAGUUCAUUGAAGGGAAAUAGAGAAUGGACUGAGAUCAACUGGUUUUGAUGUAUUAAUUGAUGUAAUUUAAAGUUAAACUUUGCAGUGUAUAAUGUUUUAAUAAAAAAGCUAUGGAAAACA